CCUACGGGGGGCUGCAGUGGGGAAUAUUGGGCAAUGGGCGCAAGCCUGACCCAGCAACGCCGCGUGAAGGAAGAAGGCUUUCGGGUUGUAAACUUCUUUUAAGAGGGAGGAGCAGAAGACGGUACCCUGACAACAAGCCACGGCUAACUACGUGCCAGCAGCCGCGGUAAUACGUAGGUGGCAAGCGUUGUCCGGAUUUACUGGGUGUAAAGGGCGUGUAGCCGGGAAGGCAAGUCAGAUGUGAAAUCUGGAGGCUCAACCUCCAAAUUGCAUUUGAAACUGUUUUUCUUGAGUACUGGAGAGGCAGACGGAAUGCCUUGUGUAGCGGUGAAAUGCGUAGAUAUUAGGAGGAACACCGGUGGCGAAGGCGGCCUGCUGGACUGUGACUGACGUUGAGGCCCGAAGGCGUGGGGAGCAAACAGGAUUAGAUACCCCUGUAGUC
This 442-nucleotide ribosomal RNA is filed under the name uncultured bacterium. RNAcentral describes it as "partial 16S ribosomal RNA". It matches the Rfam family "Bacterial small subunit ribosomal RNA", at positions 338 to 795 of the family's 1533-position model. The record is from RNAcentral.